AGAGUUUGAUCCUGGCUCAGGACGAACGCUGGCGGCGUGCUUAACACAUGCAAGUCGAACGAGACCCAUUCUUUCGGGAGUGGUGGAAGUGGCGAACGGGUGAGUAACACGUAGGUAAUCUGCCCUCAAGUGGGGAAUAAUUCCGGGAAACUGGUUGUAAUACCGCAUAAAUUCCGGGAGGGACAUCCCUUCUGGAUUAAAGGCUUCGGCCGCUUGAGGAUGAGCCUGCGUCCCAUUAGCUAGUUGGCGGGGUAAACGCCCACCAAGGCGACGAUGGGUAGCUGGUCUGAGAGGACGACCAGCCACACUGGGACUGAGAUACGGCCCAGACUCCUACGGGAGGCAGCAGUGAGGAAUAUUGCGCAAUGGCCGAAAGGCUGACGCAGCAACGCCGCGUGGAUGAUGAAGCACUUUUGUGUGUAAAAUCCUGUUGAGAGGGAAGAAACUCCGCUUCUGGCGGACUGACGGUACCUCUAAAGAAAGCUCCGGCCAACUCCGUGCCAGCAGCCGCGGUAAUACGGGGGGAGCAAGCGUUGUCCGGAUUUAUUGGGCGUAAAGGGCGCGUAGGUGGGUUGGUAAGUGAGUGGUGAAAUCCCGAGGCUUAACUUCGGAAUGGCCUUUCAUACUGCCAAUCUCGAGUGCGAGAGGGGAAGAUGGAAUUCCUGGUGUAGCGGUGGAAUGCGUAGAUAUCAGGAAGAACACCGGUGGCGAAGGCGGUCUUCUGGCUCGUAACUGACACUGAGGCGCGAAAGCGUGGGUAGCAAACAGGAUUAGAUACCCUGGUAGUCC
Molecule: ribosomal RNA, 789 nt
Filed under: uncultured bacterium
Lineage: Bacteria
Description: bacterial SSU rRNA
Rfam family: Bacterial small subunit ribosomal RNA
Source: RNAcentral